UUUAUGAGAGUUUGAUCCUGGCUCAGGACGAACGCUGGCGGCGUGCCUAAUACAUGCAAGUAGAACGCUGAAGUCUGGUGCUUGCACUAGACGGAUGAGUUGCGAACGGGUGAGUAACGCGUAGGUAACCUGCCUCAUAGCGGGGGAUAACUAUUGGAAACGAUAGCUAAUACCGCAUAACAGUAUUUACCGCAUGGUAGAUAUUUGAAAGGAGCAAUUGCUUCACUAUGAGAUGGACCUGCGUUGUAUUAGCUAGUUGGUGAGGUAACGGCUCACCAAGGCUUCGAUACAUAGCCGACCUGAGAGGGUGAUCGGCCACACUGGGACUGAGACACGGCCCAGACUCCUACGGGAGGCAGCAGUAGGGAAUCUUCGGCAAUGGGGGCAACCCUGACCGAGCAACGCCGCGUGAGUGAAGAAGGUUUUCGGAUCGUAAAGCUCUGUUGUAAGAGAAGAACUGUGAGAAGAGUGGAAAGUUUCUCACUUGACGGUAUCUUACCAGAAAGGGACGGCUAACUACGUGCCAGCAGCCGCGGUAAUACGUAGGUCCCGAGCGUUGUCCGGAUUUAUUGGGCGUAAAGCGAGCGCAGGCGGUUUGAUAAGUCUGAAGUAAAAGGCUGUGGCUUAACCAUAGUACGCUUUGGAAACUGUCAAACUUGAGUGCAGAAGGGGAGAGUGGAAUUCCAUGUGUAGCGGUGAAAUGCGUAGAUAUAUGGAGGAACACCGGUGGCGAAAGCGGCUCUCUGGUCUGUAACUGACGCUGAGGCUCGAAAGCGUGGGGAGCGAACAGGAUUAGAU
Molecule: ribosomal RNA, 798 nt
Filed under: Streptococcus suis
Lineage: Bacteria; Bacillati; Bacillota; Bacilli; Lactobacillales; Streptococcaceae
Description: bacterial SSU rRNA
Rfam family: Bacterial small subunit ribosomal RNA
Source: RNAcentral